GAUGAACGCUGGCGGCGUGCCUAAUACAUGCAAGUCGAGCGAACAGACGAGGAGCUUGCUCCUCUGACGUUAGCGGCGGACGGGUGAGUAACACGUGGAUAACCUACCUAUAAGACUGGGAUAACUUCGGGAAACCGGAGCUAAUACCGGAUAAUAUAUUGAACCGCAUUGUUCAAUAGUGAAAGACGGUUUUGCUGGCACUGAUAGAUGGAUCCGCGCCGCAUUAGCUAGUUGGUAAGGUAACGGCUUACCAAGGCGACGAUGCGUAGCCGACCUGAGAGGGUGAUCGGCCACACUGGAACUGAGACACGGUCCAGACUCCUACGGGAGGCAGCAGUAGGGAAUCUUCCGCAAUGGGCGAAAGCCUGACGGAGCAACGCCGCGUGAGUGAUGAAGGUCUUCGGAUCGUAAAACUCUGUUAUUAGGGAAGAACAAAUGUGUAAGUAACUAUGCACGUCUUGACGGUACCUAAUCAGAAAGCCACGGCUAACUACGUG
Molecule: ribosomal RNA, 497 nt
Filed under: uncultured bacterium
Lineage: Bacteria
Description: partial 16S ribosomal RNA
Rfam family: Bacterial small subunit ribosomal RNA
Source: RNAcentral